This is a long non-coding RNA of Chelonia mydas (Green sea turtle), 1358 nucleotides long. RefSeq lists it as uncharacterized. The record is from RefSeq and is a predicted model, not a curated record. NCBI's taxonomy places the organism in Eukaryota, Metazoa, Chordata, Testudines, Cheloniidae. The transcript is spliced from 2 exons.
UCUUCACCACCUUUGACAAGAAAGGGAUGUUCCCGCUCGUCACUGCCUCGAAUGUUUAUACGUUUUGGUUUCCUGAUAGACGCCAUUACUUUGAUCUUGGAGGGAGGGGAAAAAAGCAAAACAUGUUUGGCACAGACUGACUCCCAUCAACCAACAAGUCACAUAGCACCCUCUUCUGGUGGGCUCAUGCAGUUGCACAGGUACUGGCGCUUUGCAUUUCUUAUCAGCUUCAAGAUAAAUUCUGUGUGACCAUCCAAAUACAGGAGGAGGAGAAAAAUAAAUGACAGCAACAUGAAGAGGACAAUGUGACAAAGCUGGAGCCAUUUUCUCAGUCAUGGGACUAAAGGGCAACUUGAGACGCUACAGAAUAGCAAAAAAUAUUUACUUUAAUUAUUGUUGACUGUACUUUUUUUAUAAGAAAACUCAUCUAAGUUGUGCAAAAUACCUUUGUGAUCAAGUCACUUUACCUCUAUCCCUAAUCAAGGCACCGCAGUAAUGGCCCCUGUACAAAUGCAAUCAGUGUGAUAUCAAAUCUAAUCUAGCAAUGAUUUUACAAACCUGAUAAAAUGGAUCACUCCAAGUUUUGUUUAGGUCUGGAGGUUGUCCGCUAUCAAUAUUAACAGUGGAACAAUACUCCAGUGACUUCCACUCUGUCAGAUGGUUGUAGCAUUCAAGAGAUGCAAGUUCCCAGAAACCCUUUUCUGCUUCAGUAGGCUCACCAUCCAACCAGUCUUGUUUAGAGAGAGCCUAGAAAAGGAAUGUCAAAUGAAAAAAAAACAAGUAGGUUCUUAGCGGCAACAUUAUGAUCUUUUUACUAUUCUAGCUGAACACGUUCAGGAAAACCUAUAAUGUUUUCACUGUUGCAUGACAAUAUUUUAUUCCUUUAUCAGCAUUUGUGUUUAAUAAACAAAUAGGACCAAAGAAAAUGUUCCAAAGAAUUCUUCAAAAUUUAAGCCAGUCACACCUUUAACAUAUAAAACUCAGUUCAGAUGUGAGCUUCAGUCAACCUGCUUUUGUAAAGAGCUGCAUUUUUCCACCUUUCAUUUAGACACAAACAUUCUGUAGGUAAAUCAUUUCCACACACAUUUUUUAUCGAUUAUCAACUUGUGAACACAAAUAGAACUUACAUGUGCAGACCAUAGGCACUUAAUUUGCACUCUCUAAUGCUCUUUUGUAUGUAUUGAAAUUAUAUUGAUUUAUGCCUGUAAAGUUGUGUGACACUAAUGGAGAUAACUUGAAAAUCUGGCUCAAUAAGCACUGUCUUAUGAACUGUUAUUUAUAUUGCAUUUGGCCAAGUAUCUUUUAUGGUUCUUGAAUUAUAUAAUGAAGUGAACUAAAUAAAAGAACGUUUAAAGCAA